Molecule: ribosomal RNA, 1100 nt
Filed under: Paenibacillus ehimensis
Lineage: Bacteria; Bacillati; Bacillota; Bacilli; Caryophanales; Paenibacillaceae
Description: bacterial SSU rRNA
Rfam family: Bacterial small subunit ribosomal RNA
Source: RNAcentral
CGGCAAUACAUGCAAGUCGAGCGCUCGUUGAGUUCCUUCAGGAUCCCCCGGGAGCGGCGAAUGGGUGAGUAGCACCUAGGCUGCCUGACUGUAAUACCGGGAUAACUACCGGAAUCGGACCCUAAAACUGGACAUGUGGUCUUCUAGGAUGAGAAGAUCAAGAGACACGGGGGAACCUGUGGCUUACCUAUGGGCCUGCGGCGCAUUAGCGGGUUGGUGGGGUAACGGCGCAACAAGGCGACGAUGCGUAGCCAACCUGAUAGGGUGAUCGGCCACACUGAGACUGACACAAGGCCCACACUCCGACGGGAGGCGGCAUUAGGGAAUCUUCCGCAAUGGACGCCGGUCUGACGGAGCAACGCCGCUGGAGUGAUGAAGGUUUUCGGAUCGUAAAGCUCUGUUGCAAGGGAACAAAGUCUCGGAGAGCAGCUGCUCUGCGAAUGAGGGAACCUGACAACAACGCCCCGGCUAACUACAUGCCCGCAGCCGCGGUAGUACCUAGGGUGCAAGGGUUGUCCGGAAUUAUUGGGCGUAAAGCGCGCGCAGGCGGCCGCUUAGUUCUGGUGUUGAAGCCCGGGGCUGAUCCCCGGGUCGCAUGGGAGACUGGGCGGCUUGAGUGCAAGACAGGAUUCCGGAUUUACCCGUGUAACGCUGAAAUGCGUAGAGGAGUGGAGGAACACCAGUGGCCAAUGCGGCUUGCUGGCCAGUCACAGACGCUGAAGCGCGAAAACGUGAGGAGCAUACAUGAUCAGAUACCCUGGGACUCCACCCCUUAGACCAUGAUUGCUAGGGGUUAGGGGUUUCUAUACCCUUGGUGCCCAAAUAAACCCCUCAACCACUCCACCAGGGUAGUACGCUUGCAACACUGAGGCUCUCACGAAUUGACGGGGACCCGCUCGAGCAUUUGAUUAUGUUCUUUAAUUCGCAGCAACGCUUAGCAACGUUUAUCACGUCCCUGCCGUCUAUCUGAAAAUUCUAGAGAUACGGUCAUGGACUUCGGGAACCGAGUAGUACCGGUGGUGUCUUCUUCUUCGUUCUCUUGUUAUCUUGGGAUGUUUGGUUAAUCCAUGCCAACCACUUCAACCCAUGUAGCUUCGUUU